GAUGAACGCUGGCGGCGUGCCUAAUACAUGCAAGUCGUACAGAAAGGCCCUUCGGGGUACUCGAGUGGCGGACGGCUGAGUAACGCGUGGGAACGUGCCCCAAAGUGAGGGAUAACGCACCGAAAGGUGUGCUAAUACCGCAUAUGGUCUUCGGAUUAAAGCUUCAGCGCUUUGGGAGCGGCCCGCGUACGAUUAGAUAGUUGGUGAGGUAAUGGCUCACCAAGUCGACGAUCGUUAGCUGGUCUGAGAGGAUGAUCAGCCAGACUGGGACUGAGACACGGCCCAGACUCCUACGGGAGGCAGCAGUAAGGAAUCUUCCACAAUGGGGGCAACCCUGAUGGAGCAACGCCGCGUGCAGGAUGAAGGUUUUCGGAUCGUAAACUGCUUUUAUAAGUGAAGAAUAUGACGGUAACUUAUGAAUAAGGAUCGGCUAACUACGUGCCAGCCGCCGCAGUAA
RNAcentral lists this ribosomal RNA (457 nucleotides) under uncultured bacterium. Its description in RNAcentral is "partial 16S ribosomal RNA". It matches the Rfam family "Bacterial small subunit ribosomal RNA", at positions 28 to 523 of the family's 1533-position model. The record is from RNAcentral.